Molecule: long non-coding RNA, 333 nt
Filed under: Gallus gallus (chicken)
Lineage: Eukaryota; Metazoa; Chordata; Aves; Galliformes; Phasianidae
Description: long non-coding RNA NONGGAT004414
Source: RNAcentral
CCGGGCCUGGCGGGUGGUGCGGUUGGGACGGUGAAUUGUUGCUGACUUUCCUCAGGCCCAGGACUUCAUCCCCUGCAGAUGUGAAGCUCCGGUUUCCGAGGGACGCAUGAGGAGAUGAGGUGCUCAGGUGCCUUUGCUGCUGGCCCAGGGCAGCACAGAGUUCUGCAAGGCAGGGAAGCCAGGAGCUGCCCAGGAAGCUCGGAAGCUCUGCUUGGAUAAGAGCGACUGCCUCAGGCCACUCCCUGCUGGGGAAGCCCCCCAUGGACUGUAGGCAUUUACCUGAGGCCCGCAAGGAGACCCUGAGCCCGGAGCCCGAGUCGCUGCCACCUCCAG